This 74-nucleotide transfer RNA is filed under the name Alkalinema sp. RU_4_3. RNAcentral's name for it is "tRNA-Leu". It matches the Rfam family "tRNA". From Rfam's summary of the family: Transfer RNA (tRNA) molecules are approximately 80 nucleotides in length. The record is from RNAcentral. Lineage: Bacteria; Bacillati; Cyanobacteriota; Cyanophyceae; Leptolyngbyales; Leptolyngbyaceae.
ACCCCUAUGACCCAAUCGGCAGAGGUUCCAAACUUAAAAUUUGGUUGUUGUGGGUUCGACUCCCACUAGGGGUA